GCCGCCAGCUGCAGGAUCCCGCGUGGCAGCCCCACGGCCGCGGGCUGCCGGGGGACUUCGGUGUAUUCCAGGUCCGCGGGCUCAGUGACAGCAGCGGCCAGUGCGAGGCUCGGCAGCAGCCAGAGGCUCAGCAACAGCGCUGGCAUCGGGGGUUGACGGGGCUGCAUGGACACGGGCGGCAGGGGCCCACGGGGCUGCGUGGAUGGGGAAAGCUGGCGCUGAGCUCCCUGGACCCGGUUCGCAGUGCUCACGGAAAUAGGCCACGGCGGCCACUCCCCUCCGCCCCCGGGUCGCCGCCCUUCCUCGCCUCCCUGUCCAAGCAGAAGGACCAGAAGGCGCCUCCGGGAGAGCGGGUCAUGUCCCAUGUCCCCAUGACGCGGUGAGAGGGGACAUGGGACAGUGGGGCGCCUCCUUGAGGGCACACUCCGACUCCAACUCUGGGAACUUAGCUUGUCGCCUGCGGCUGCUGCAAUUUCACAACCCUCAGGUCUUAGAACCCACUCCAAAGCUUCAGAUGUUACCAGGGUUCUUUGAGUCAAAGUCUGAGCCCUGACAGUCCUACCAAGCUGACGUGGCCACUUACAGAGAUAAUAGUGAAAAGAAGAGAGAAGUCAACUUUCAUGGUCCUGAUGCAAGAGUUAAGGGCAGUCCUCUCCCGAGUGCUGCUGCCAUGACUCACCCAUCAGGCCAGCUGCGCAGUCUGUCCCGCAGGGUGGUGUCAUGAAUGCCACAACUAGGUGACAUCUAUCUUCUAGAGUAUUCUGAGAAACAAAAGGAGGGCACAGAACAUCUUAGAGCAUCUUGCUCUUGCCUGGACAGGAAGGAGACUAAGGGAGAGCUGAAGAGUUUGGACUGUGGAAGCAAAAUGAACUGAG
Molecule: long non-coding RNA, 875 nt
Organism: Mus musculus (house mouse)
Lineage: Eukaryota; Metazoa; Chordata; Mammalia; Rodentia; Muridae
Product: predicted gene, 40067
Exons: 3
Source: RefSeq, a predicted model, not a curated record